AACGAACGCUGGCGGCGCGCCUAAUACAUGCAAGUCGAGCGAGAAGACGUAGCAAUACGUUUGUAAAGCGGCGAACGGGUGAGGAAUACAUGGGUAACCUACCCUCGAGUGGGGAAUAACUAGCCGAAAGGUUAGCUAAUACCGCGUACGCUCCUUGGACUUCGGUUCAGGGAGGAAAGCGAUACCGUGGGUAUCGCGCUCUUGGAUGGGCUCAUGUCCUAUCAGCUUGUUGGUGAGGUAACGGCUCACCAAGGCUUCGACGGGUAGCUGGUCUGAGAGGACGAUCAGCCACACUGGCACUGCGACACGGGCCAGACUCCUACGGGAGGCAGCAGUAAGGAAUAUUGCGCAAUGGGCAAAGCCUGACGCAGCGACGCCGCGUGGGGGAU
Molecule: ribosomal RNA, 389 nt
Filed under: uncultured bacterium
Lineage: Bacteria
Description: bacterial SSU rRNA
Rfam family: Bacterial small subunit ribosomal RNA
Source: RNAcentral